CUAAAAAACGAUAACAAACUAUAACAAACUUCCGUCCUGAGAGAAAAAUAUACAAAAUUCAACUUUUUAUACUGGAUUUCUGAGUAUUUUUGAUAUGUGACUUACAAUAGUAUACAUUGUGACGGUAAGUAAACACUACACAGAGUCAUACACCUUAAAAUAUAAACUCGAAAGUUGAUUUUUCUCUAAUGCUAGAUUGGG
This 201-nucleotide long non-coding RNA is filed under the name Mytilus galloprovincialis (Mediterranean mussel). Lineage: Eukaryota; Metazoa; Mollusca; Bivalvia; Mytilida; Mytilidae. The record is from RNAcentral.